GAUGUCUUUUUCAAUUACUUCUAAUAAUUCUACCACUGUACCAGUGAAUAUUAUUACUUCAAUAUUAUUUAUUAGUGCAGUAAUUGCCAAGACAGAAGACUGCAAUACGAACUCGUACUCGUAGCAGCAGCAAUGCCAAGAAGAGCAGGCAGCGUAGCAAAAGCAGUCACAACAACGCAGACGCAAUAACAUUUUCAGCAGCCGUUCAUCUCAGAGGGGAUGCAGCGCCAAACUGCGAGGGUGAGGUGGUAACUCUCACAACCAAUGCCUCCGCAGGUUCAUCGUUAGCUACCCCACAGCUGAGUGCCAUACUGGUCAUGACGUAACUACAGAAACAGGAAAACUUGCCGGGGAGCUGAGCGAAAGGCAAGAACUUUAUACCUGUGCAUGGCCAUGAUCCCAUGUACAAACAGCCCCAGAGAGUACCCAUGCGUGCUGUACCCAGCGUGUGGCGCACGGCAGUCGGCCCAACAACAGCACGCGAGCAAGGUAUGUUCAAUUUGUAAAGAUGUUCCCAUCCAUCAACCUCCGCUCAGAACGAGCUAAGAAUCGUGGACAGCUUAUCAAGGACAAGGUUGAACUAGCUGGUGUCGACUUGACUGACCUGGGCAAGAAGCUGUUUGCCCUCAAGGCAUGGGCAUCCGCGCACACGAAGGUGCCCCGCGCCAAGGCUAAGAAAAAGACAUAGACUACGUGUUCGCAUGGCUCUUUGUACAUUCACAGUUGAGUGCCUCGUUUAUGUGUGUAUGUUUAAAUCAUGUACACCCUCUGAUGGGAGUAUGAUAAUGUAGUCAUCUAGGACGGCUGGACUGUCCCUAGUGUUCCAAGUGCAUAUUGACGCUAACCUCCAAUGUUAUAUCCAGCAAGUAUCAGAUCUGCACUAUCGCACAUAGAACUGGUGUAUAUUUCUUUACUGUGUUGACUCACUACCCUACUAGCCACAGUCAUAUUUAUAUCAACAAUAACGUGGGCACCGCAUUAUUUUUUGUUUAGGAGCUGUCGGUAUGCCGGUAGCAUGGGUCACGCUAGUGCAAAAUAGGCUAGACUACAUGCAGCCAAGAACCAGGCACUAUUCCAUCCAAGAAAUAGUGGGAGUAACUAUCCUGAUGCCUUGCAACAUGUCCAAACCACUUCAACUUGAUGCUUGGUAACGAGAGAGCUUGGAAGCUCAGGGCCCUACGCUAUGCUUUUUUGCCUUGAUGACCGAGACAAAAAAAAGCAUAGGGACCGGAUGUCAUAAAUUCUUAUAAGUUUCUACUUUUUGUUUUUAGACAUAUUAAACCUGGGAUUCGAACCCGCACUAUCGCCCUGCAUGCAUCCCCCGAUACACUUCGCAUACAUACUAUUUCUUUCAAGUUGCUUCACGUUAUGAUCUUGUAUUUGAAAGCCCUAUUGGAAUAUGCAUUGUGGCCAGCCG
This is a long non-coding RNA of Sycon ciliatum, 1417 nucleotides long. RefSeq lists it as uncharacterized. The transcript has 5 exons. The record is from RefSeq and is a predicted model, not a curated record. NCBI's taxonomy places the organism in Eukaryota, Metazoa, Porifera, Calcarea, Leucosolenida, Sycettidae.